Molecule: ribosomal RNA, 457 nt
Filed under: Rhizobium sp. LR10
Lineage: Bacteria; Pseudomonadati; Pseudomonadota; Alphaproteobacteria; Hyphomicrobiales; Rhizobiaceae
Description: bacterial SSU rRNA
Rfam family: Bacterial small subunit ribosomal RNA
Source: RNAcentral
CGCCCCGCAUGGGGAGUGGCAGACGGGUGAGUAACGCGUGGGAACGUACCCUUUCCUGCGGAAUAGCUCCGGGAAACUGGAAUUAAUACCGUAUACGCCCUACGGGGGAAAGAUUUAUCGGUAAAGGAUCGGCCCGCGUUGGAUUAGCUAGUUGGUGGGGUAAAGGCCUACCAAGGCGACGAUCCAUAGCUGGUCUGAGAGGAUGAUCAGCCACAUUGGGACUGAGACACGGCCCAAACUCCUACGGGAGGCAGCAGUGGGGAAUAUUGGACAAUGGGCGCAAGCCUGAUCCAGCCAUGCCGCGUGAGUGAUGAAGGCCUUAGGGUUGUAAAGCUCUUUCACCGGAGAAGAUAAUGACGGUAUCCGGAGAAGAAGCCCCGGCUAACUUCGUGCCAGCAGCCGCGGUAAUACGAAGGGGGCUAGCGUUGUUCGGAAUUACUGGGCGUAAAGCGCACGU